GCCGGAAUAGCUCAGUUGGGAGAGCGUUAGACUGAAGUUGUUUACGCAACAAUUAUCUAAAGGCCCGAGGUUCAAUCACGAACGGAACAAUUCGGCG
This 97-nucleotide transfer RNA is filed under the name Dreissena polymorpha. RNAcentral's name for it is "tRNA-Phe". Lineage: Eukaryota; Metazoa; Mollusca; Bivalvia; Myida; Dreissenidae. The record is from RNAcentral.